RNAcentral lists this ribosomal RNA (1528 nucleotides) under human gut metagenome. RNAcentral describes it as "bacterial SSU rRNA". It matches the Rfam family "Bacterial small subunit ribosomal RNA". The record is from RNAcentral.
AGAGUUUGAUCCUGGCUCAGGACGAACGCUGGCGGCGUGCCUAAUACAUGCAAGUAGAACGCUGAAGAGAGGAGCUUGCUCUUCUUGGAUGAGUUGCGAACGGGUGAGUAACGCGUAGGUAACCUGCCUUGUAGCGGGGGAUAACUAUUGGAAACGAUAGCUAAUACCGCAUAACAAUGGAUGACACAUGUCAUUUAUUUGAAAGGGGCAAUUGCUCCACUACAAGAUGGACCUGCGUUGUAUUAGCUAGUAGGUGAGGUAAUGGCUCACCUAGGCGACGAUACAUAGCCGACCUGAGAGGGUGAUCGGCCACACUGGGACUGAGACACGGCCCAGACUCCUACGGGAGGCAGCAGUAGGGAAUCUUCGGCAAUGGGGGCAACCCUGACCGAGCAACGCCGCGUGAGUGAAGAAGGUUUUCGGAUCGUAAAGCUCUGUUGUAAGUCAAGAACGGGUGUGAGAGUGGAAAGUUCACACUGUGACGGUAGCUUACCAGAAAGGGACGGCUAACUACGUGCCAGCAGCCGCGGUAAUACGUAGGUCCCGAGCGUUGUCCGGAUUUAUUGGGCGUAAAGCGAGCGCAGGCGGUUUGAUAAGUCUGAAGUUAAAGGCUGUGGCUCAACCAUAGUUCGCUUUGGAAACUGUCAAACUUGAGUGCAGAAGGGGAGAGUGGAAUUCCAUGUGUAGCGGUGAAAUGCGUAGAUAUAUGGAGGAACACCGGUGGCGAAAGCGGCUCUCUGGUCUGUAACUGACGCUGAGGCUCGAAAGCGUGGGGAGCGAACAGGAUUAGAUACCCUGGUAGUCCACGCCGUAAACGAUGAGUGCUAGGUGUUGGAUCCUUUCCGGGAUUCAGUGCCGCAGCUAACGCAUUAAGCACUCCGCCUGGGGAGUACGACCGCAAGGUUGAAACUCAAAGGAAUUGACGGGGGCCCGCACAAGCGGUGGAGCAUGUGGUUUAAUUCGAAGCAACGCGAAGAACCUUACCAGGUCUUGACAUCCCGAUGCUAUUUCUAGAGAUAGAAAGUUACUUCGGUACAUCGGUGACAGGUGGUGCAUGGUUGUCGUCAGCUCGUGUCGUGAGAUGUUGGGUUAAGUCCCGCAACGAGCGCAACCCCUAUUGUUAGUUGCCAUCAUUCAGUUGGGCACUCUAGCGAGACUGCCGGUAAUAAACCGGAGGAAGGUGGGGAUGACGUCAAAUCAUCAUGCCCCUUAUGACCUGGGCUACACACGUGCUACAAUGGUUGGUACAACGAGUUGCGAGUCGGUGACGGCAAGCUAAUCUCUUAAAGCCAAUCUCAGUUCGGAUUGUAGGCUGCAACUCGCCUACAUGAAGUCGGAAUCGCUAGUAAUCGCGGAUCAGCACGCCGCGGUGAAUACGUUCCCGGGCCUUGUACACACCGCCCGUCACACCACGAGAGUUUGUAACACCCGAAGUCGGUGAGGUAACCUUUUGGAGCCAGCCGCCUAAGGUGGGAUAGAUGAUUGGGGUGAAGUCGUAACAAGGUAGCCGUAUCGGAAGGUGCGGCUG